RNAcentral lists this ribosomal RNA (236 nucleotides) under uncultured bacterium. Its description in RNAcentral is "partial 16S ribosomal RNA". It matches the Rfam family "Bacterial small subunit ribosomal RNA", at positions 541 to 776 of the family's 1533-position model. The record is from RNAcentral.
UUGUCCGGAAUCAUUGGGCGUAAAGAGCGUGUAGGCGGCCACUUAAGUCCUGCGUGAAAUCUUGCGGCUCAACCGCAAGCGGUCGUGGGAAACUGGGUGGCUAGAGUGCGGGAGAGGAGAGUGGAAUUCCUGGUGUAGCGGUGGAAUGCGCAGAUAUCAGGAAGAACACCCGUGGCGAAGGCGGCUCUCUGGAACGCAACUGACGCUGAGACGCGAAAGCGUGGGGAGCGAACAGG